CCUACGGGUGGCAGCAGUAGGGAAUCUUUCACAAUGGGCGAAAGCCUGAUGGAGCAACGCCGCGUGCAGGAUGAAGGCCUUCGGGUUGUAAACUGCUUUUAUAAGCGAGAAAUAUGAUGGUAACUUAUGAAUAAGGAUCGGCUAACUACGUGCCAGCAGCCGCGGUCAUACGUAGGAUCCGAGCAUUAUCCGGAGUGACUGGGUGUAAAGAGUUGCGUAGGUGGCAUAAUAAGUAGCUAGUGAAAUCUGGUGGCUCAACCAUUCAGACUAUUAGCUAAAAUGUUAAGCUCGAGACCGUUAGGGGUAACUAGAAUUUCUAGUGUAGGAGUGAAAUCCGUAGAUAUUAGAAGGAACACCAAUAGCGUAGGCAGGUUGCUGGGACGGUUCUGACACUAAGGCACGAAAGCGUAGGGAGCAAACGGGAUUAGAUACCCGAGUAGUC
This 442-nucleotide ribosomal RNA is filed under the name uncultured bacterium. RNAcentral's name for it is "partial 16S ribosomal RNA". It matches the Rfam family "Bacterial small subunit ribosomal RNA", at positions 338 to 795 of the family's 1533-position model. The record is from RNAcentral.